RNAcentral lists this long non-coding RNA (482 nucleotides) under Pan troglodytes (chimpanzee). RNAcentral describes it as "lincRNA". Lineage: Eukaryota; Metazoa; Chordata; Mammalia; Primates; Hominidae. The record is from RNAcentral.
UUCUUUUUCUAUUCACACAUGUCAGAUAGAGACAUGCGUGUUGUAAAUUAUUUUGUCAGAAUGAAAGGCUGGCAGAUUAAAUGAUUUCUUCUCUUUUUGCUGUACUUGAUAUCGAUCUCUUGUUCAUUUCUUGAUAAUAUGUUUGGUUAUUUUUGUUUUCAUUGCUUUUAGUGUCAGAGAUGGCUUUGGAUUCCCCAUUCUGUGUGCUCCUGUCUGGCUCCUGAACCCAGCUGGAGAGGUGUGUCAAUCCCAACUGGUGAAGUACUGAGAGGAAGCUACACAAAAGGCAGCAAGGUGUUAGUGAGUGGUGUCAUUGAGCAAACACAAAGUCGGGCUCAUCCAAGGAUGAGAUUUUGCCAGAGAAAGGACGAGCAGCAAGUCAGGGAGCUUAAGGUAAUUAUGAGAAAGUGACUAUCUAAAAUUGCUUAGGUAGAAGGAGACAGAUUGGAUUUUUGUGUGUUUGGUAUUUGGGAUAAGAGGGA